UACGAAGGGGGCUAGCGUUGCUCGGAAUCACUGGGCGUAAAGCGCACGUAGGCGGAUCUUUAAGUCAGGGGUGAAAUCCUGGAGCUUAACUCCAGAACUGCCUUUGAUACUGGGGAUCUCGAGUCCGGAAGAGGUGAGUGGAACUCCGAGUGUAGAGGUGAAAUUCGUAGAUAUUCGGAAGAACACCAGUGGCGAAGGCGGCUCACUGGUCCGGUACUGACGCUGAGGUGCGAAAGCGUGGGGAGCAAACAGG
RNAcentral lists this ribosomal RNA (253 nucleotides) under uncultured bacterium. RNAcentral describes it as "partial 16S ribosomal RNA". It matches the Rfam family "Bacterial small subunit ribosomal RNA", at positions 524 to 776 of the family's 1533-position model. The record is from RNAcentral.